GACGGGGGGGGCAAGCGUUGUCCGGAAUCAUUGGGCGUAAAGAGCGUGUAGGCGGCCCGAUAAGUCCGCUGUGAAAGUCCAGGGCUCAACCCUGGAAUGCCGGUGGAUACUGUCGGGCUCGAAUCCGGAAGAGGUGAGUGGAAUUCCUGGUGUAGCGGUGAAAUGCGCAGAUAUCAGGAGGAACACCAAUGGCGAAGGCAGCUCACUGGGACGGUAUUGACGCUGAGACGCGAAAGCGUGGGGAGCAAACAGG
RNAcentral lists this ribosomal RNA (253 nucleotides) under uncultured bacterium. RNAcentral's name for it is "partial 16S ribosomal RNA". It matches the Rfam family "Bacterial small subunit ribosomal RNA", at positions 524 to 776 of the family's 1533-position model. The record is from RNAcentral.